Molecule: ribosomal RNA, 1566 nt
Filed under: Escherichia coli
Lineage: Bacteria; Pseudomonadati; Pseudomonadota; Gammaproteobacteria; Enterobacterales; Enterobacteriaceae
Description: partial 23S ribosomal RNA
Rfam family: Bacterial large subunit ribosomal RNA
Source: RNAcentral
UUCGUCACACUAUCAUUAACUGAAUCCAUAGGUUAAUGAGGCGAACCGGGGGAACUGAAACAUCUAAGUACCCCGAGGAAAAGAAAUCAACCGAGAUUCCCCCAGUAGCGGCGAGCGAACGGGGAGGAGCCCAGAGCCUGAAUCAGUGUGUGUGUUAGUGGAAGCGUCUGGAAAGGCGCGCGAUACAGGGUGACAGCCCCGUACACAAAAAUGCACAUGCUGUGAGCUCGAUGAGUAGGGCGGGACACGUGGUAUCCUGUCUGAAUAUGGGGGGACCAUCCUCCAAGGCUAAAUACUCCUGACUGACCGAUAGUGAACCAGUACCGUGAGGGAAAGGCGAAAAGAACCCCGGCGAGGGGAGUGAAAAAGAACCUGAAACCGUGUACGUACAAGCAGUGGGAGCACGCUUAGGCGUGUGACUGCGUACCUUUUGUAUAAUGGGUCAGCGACUUAUAUUCUGUAGCAAGGUUAACCGAAUAGGGGAGCCGAAGGGAAACCGAGUCUUAACUGGGCGUUAAGUUGCAGGGUAUAGACCCGAAACCCGGUGAUCUAGCCAUGGGCAGGUUGAAGGUUGGGUAACACUAACUGGAGGACCGAACCGACUAAUGUUGAAAAAUUAGCGGAUGACUUGUGGCUGGGGGUGAAAGGCCAAUCAAACCGGGAGAUAGCUGGUUCUCCCCGAAAGCUAUUUAGGUAGCGCCUCGUGAAUUCAUCUCCGGGGGUAGAGCACUGUUUCGGCAAGGGGGUCAUCCCGACUUACCAACCCGAUGCAAACUGCGAAUACCGGAGAAUGUUAUCACGGGAGACACACGGCGGGUGCUAACGUCCGUCGUGAAGAGGGAAACAACCCAGACCGCCAGCUAAGGUCCCAAAGUCAUGGUUAAGUGGGAAACGAUGUGGGAAGGCCCAGACAGCCAGGAUGUUGGCUUAGAAGCAGCCAUCAUUUAAAGAAAGCGUAAUAGCUCACUGGUCGAGUCGGCCUGCGCGGAAGAUGUAACGGGGCUAAACCAUGCACCGAAGCUGCGGCAGCGACGCUUAUGCGUUGUUGGGUAGGGGAGCGUUCUGUAAGCCUGUGAAGGUGUGCUGUGAGGCAUGCUGGAGGUAUCAGAAGUGCGAAUGCUGACAUAAGUAACGAUAAAGCGGGUGAAAAGCCCGCUCGCCGGAAGACCAAGGGUUCCUGUCCAACGUUAAUCGGGGCAGGGUGAGUCGACCCCUAAGGCGAGGCCGAAAGGCGUAGUCGAUGGGAAACAGGUUAAUAUUCCUGUACUUGGUGUUACUGCGAAGGGGGGACGGAGAAGGCUAUGUUGGCCGGGCGACGGUUGUCCCGGUUUAAGCGUGUAGGCUGGUUUUCCAGGCAAAUCCGGAAAAUCAAGGCUGAGGCGUGAUGACGAGGCACUACGGUGCUGAAGCAACAAAUGCCCUGCUUCCAGGAAAAGCCUCUAAGCAUCAGGUAACAUCAAAUCGUACCCCAAACCGACACAGGUGGUCAGGUAGAGAAUACCAAGGCGCUUGAGAGAACUCGGGUGAAGGAACUAGGCAAAAUGGUGCCGUAACUUCGGGAGAAGG